GCGGCGGGGAGGUGGGCCGGGAGCGACAGAGGCUUUAGGCUGUUGCAGGAGCACUUGCAGUUUAAAAAUGUCCAAUUGCCCUGCUCCCUUGAAUUUGUUUCUUCUGCAGGAAGUUCCGCGGUCGAUCCCGACGCUGCAGCCCCUCUCCUGCCCGCCAGGGUGCCGGCCCCGUGCCAAGGGAGAGGCCGAGUUUGUUUCCAGUUUCUCUAGUCAACGGUUCAUCCCAAAUGUGUUUCUCCAGCACCUACUGUGAGCUGGACCUCUCCUAGGCCCCGGAAGAACAAUAAUGAACAGACUAGAUGCCACCCUCUCAUUUCUACAAGGGCAAUGAACAAGGACACUUCUGGUGGAUCAGCAGGGGAUAUUUUAUUUUUUCAAUCGGGAAUGUGUUCAAAUCAAUAUGGUUUAAAUAUCCAAUCAGUAUAAGACGUAUCUAGGAGAAAGCCUGACUCUCACCUCUGCCGCAUCUGACACACACAGAAGCCAUGCUGUGUCCUGGCACCCCUGGCGGGAAAGAUUUCGAUCAGGUGGUCUGGAAGGCCAGUGUGAAGAGGUGACAUUUGCAGGAAAGGAACAUUGUUCAAGAGUGUGCCAGCAUCACAGGUGAGAAGGUGGCAGGUACAAAGGCCCUUAGGUGGUAAGAAGCUUUGCGGGUUCUGAGAACAUAAGACCAGGUGGCUGGCCAGCCAGGUGGCUCAGGAGGUUGGAGCUCCGUGCUCCUAACUCCAAGGGCUGCCGGUUGGAUUCCCACAUGGGCCAGUGGGCUCUCAACCACACGGUUGCUGAUUUGACUCCCGCAAGGGA
Molecule: long non-coding RNA, 804 nt
Organism: Rhinolophus ferrumequinum (greater horseshoe bat)
Lineage: Eukaryota; Metazoa; Chordata; Mammalia; Chiroptera; Rhinolophidae
Exons: 3
Source: RefSeq, a predicted model, not a curated record